UUGAUGGCUACAAAUGAGCAAAGAAUAUCUGGUUCCAGGUGUCUGGUACUCCCGGCAAACACCAAUGAAUACAAUCUGCAUGCCUCAAUGGAUCAUUCUUUUGCUCUUCCGUCAACAGUUCUCCCCCAGUCUCUGUAUAAACCGAUGUGUGAGCAUCAAUUCGGUACUCUGAAAUCUGUGUUAUGUUGAUAAACGUAACGGGAACUUUCAUCUUCCCAACUACACUUGCCACUACGCUCAUCAUUUGCUUAUUUGAACCGCUUCCCCAGUGCUUCUUCUUCAUCACUGGUAUUGUUUCAUUGAAACAUUUGAUUCCUUCCUUGUUCCCCCAAUCCUGGCUUCUGCAAUUUGGUACCAAAGUUGAGUUACUAAUGGUUGCCCACCAACUGUUUGUGUUUUUUCCUCUGAGAAAAUGAGAAUAAUGAGAGAGAGAGAGAGAGAGAUGAACCUUGUGUGUGUAGGGGACAUGGUAGUGAACAAGACUCUGGUUUUGUUGGGAUUUAUAGUUGAGUCGACCCAGUUGGCCCACGUCUUCAAUCCUAUUCUAUAAGCUACAGGUGUAUCUAGUUCCUCGAACCCUUCGUUCCCAUUUGCAAAAGAACCCCAUCUGCUCUUAAUUUUAAAUAAUUGUUACCGAUUAAUCCUUAAUUAUAUAUACAAGUGAAGAUGUGUUUUGUUUGAAGUAUUAGAAUAGGGAACUUACAGUGAGUUGAUUCUAAGGCCACUCAUCCACCAGACAUAAGUAUUGAAGAUAAGAAUAUCCACUCCUAUCCAGUUUUUGGCAUGCCUGGCUACUGAAUCCACUUUCAAUAUUCUCUUCUUUGGAUCUGCUAUUAUGGGUUGAUCAGAAUUUGAUUCCACUAGAAAUGGAGCCCAGUAAAAUUCAAUACUCGUAUUGUAUUCCUGAGGAAGAAGAAGAUGAUGAUGAUGAUGAUUGAUCACUAAUUCUAGUUUAUUUAUUUCUCUUAUUUAUGCUGUUAUAUUUUUGCAUUCCAUUUUGUGAAUUAACUUUCUUUGUAGUAAAUCUUACUGUGUGUUAUAUUGUUUUCUACAGGAGGCACAGCAAAGAAUGAUGAGCACAAAAAUCACCGGUAUGCUAGUUUUAGAGACAUGGUAAUUUACUAAUAUUGCAUACACUUUGCAGUAAUUUAUUAGUAACUUGUAUAGUAAUCAGUACUAAAUAAAUAACAGGAUAAUGUUAGGGACCAUAGGAUAUAUUUUAGCAAUUCGAUAACACAAUGUUUUGGUAAUUACUACUCUAAAAUAUUAAACAAUUAGCUCUCUUGGUAAUUCAACAAGUCUUUUCAAGGUAAAGUUGUAAGGUAUAACUAGCUCUCUUUUGCCUAAAUAAGUUAUUCGGAAGUUCAGUCUUUAUACCUUGGCUUUGAAGACUGAAUGGAAGCGUCCUCUUUUCAUAGAUUUCCCUUCUUUAGGUAUAAUGAAUUCAACUAAACAAACAAAAGAUUGCCAUUGACCUCUUUGUAGCGAAUCACCCACAAACAUUAGUCUCUUCCCCCUAAGUUUCUUCAAAGCAACUUCUGGAUUAAAUCUGCAUAGAAACAUACAUUACAUGCAACUUUUUGAUAAAUACUUUACACAUACGCUUGUACUGUAGUAAUUUCCCUCUAAAAAGCAAUUUCUAGAUUAAAUCUGCAUAUGAAACGUAUAUUGCAUGGAACUGUUUGAUAAAUAUUUAUACAUAUAUAUACACCUAUACUAUUUUAGAACAUGCAUUUGUAUCAAAACCUUGGUAAGGUGCAGUCCUCUGGCUGCCAUUCCCAGUGACGGUAAUCAGAAUCUUGCCUUCCAUUUUUGACACAAGCAACUUGCCUAUCUAGAUAAGGACAACUUCUGUCUGAGUACAGAGGCUUAAUGGACCUAUUAAAGACCCACUUCCCAUUAGCAACAUUGCACUCUUCAGGGUCAAAAUCGAACCUAUCGUCUACUACUUUGGAGUUUUCCAUGUUAUCCUCUGCAAGUUUUUAAUAAUCUUUUGUGAGAGAAUGACAACUAACCAAUAUUCAUCAUUAAAAUCAUAUAUAUACAUAUAUAUUGCUAAUUAGAUUGAAAUAGGAAAAGAAUGUAUACAUACGUUUGGUAGAUUUUGCGAAAGCAUCUUUUUUAGAACAGGAUUUGAUCUUGAAAAUGGAGUUGGAAGAAAGCGGGCUAAUUCUCUCUGUAUAAAAGAGAGCAACGAAUGCAAAGCUGCAGAUGAGAAGAGUCAUGAUAGAGA
RNAcentral lists this long non-coding RNA (2233 nucleotides) under Carica papaya (papaya). Its description in RNAcentral is "long non-coding RNA (CPAP_LNC011847)". Lineage: Eukaryota; Viridiplantae; Streptophyta; Magnoliopsida; Brassicales; Caricaceae. The record is from RNAcentral.